RNAcentral lists this ribosomal RNA (253 nucleotides) under uncultured bacterium. RNAcentral's name for it is "partial 16S ribosomal RNA". It matches the Rfam family "Bacterial small subunit ribosomal RNA", at positions 524 to 776 of the family's 1533-position model. The record is from RNAcentral.
UACGAAGGGGGCUAGCGUUGUUCGGAAUUACUGGGCGUAAAGCGCGUGUAGGCGGGUCUUUAAGUCAGGGGUGAAAUGCCAAGGCUCAACCUUGGAACUGCCCUUGAUACUGGAGAUCUUGAGUCCGGGAGAGGUGAGUGGAACUGCGAGUGUAGAGGUGAAAUUCGUAGAUAUUCGCAAGAACACCAGUGGCGAAGGCGGCUCACUGGCCCGGUACUGACGCUGAGGUGCGAAAGCGUGGGGAGCAAACAGG